UAAUAGUCUCAGCUGGCAGAGCAUGAGAGUAUUAAUUUCAGGGUUGUGGGUUCAAGCCCCACAGUGGGCAAAA
Non-coding RNA from Podarcis lilfordi (Lilford's wall lizard), 73 nucleotides. NCBI's taxonomy places the organism in Eukaryota, Metazoa, Chordata, Lepidosauria, Squamata, Lacertidae. The record is from the annotation of a GenBank genome assembly.